UGUAGGGGUACAGUGUUAUGG
RNAcentral lists this non-coding RNA (21 nucleotides) under Caenorhabditis elegans. Lineage: Eukaryota; Metazoa; Nematoda; Chromadorea; Rhabditida; Rhabditidae. The record is from RNAcentral.